ACGGGGAUUACACGGUGAUGCGAUUUCGGUCAAAUCAAGUGCAAUCUUAGUGGCGGACGGGUGAGUAACGCGUGGGUAACCUGCCUUGCACUGGGGGAUAACACUUAGAAAUAGGUGCUAAUACCGCAUAAGCGCACGGUCCUGCAUGGGACAGUGUGAAAAACUCCGGUGGUGCAAGAUGGACCCGCGUCUGAUUAGCUGGUUGGCGGGGUAAAGGCCCACCAAGGCGACGAUCAGUAGCCGGCCUGAGAGGGUGGACGGCCACAUUGGGACUGAGACACGGCCCAAACUCCUACGGGAGGCAGCAGUGGGGGAUAUUGGACAAUGGGGGGAACCCUGAUCCAGCGACGCCGCGUGAGUGAAGAAGUAUUUCGGUAUGUAAAGCUCUGUCAGCAGGGAAGAAAGCAAUGACGGUACCUGACCAAGAAGCCCCGGCUAACUACGUGCCAGCAGCCGCGGUAAUACGUAGGGGGCAAGCGUUAUCCGGAAUUACUGGGUGUAAAGGGAGCGUAGACGGCUGUGCAAGUCUGGAGUGAAAGGCGGGGGCCCAACCCCCGGACUGCUCUGGAAACUGUAUGGCUGGAGUGCAGGAGAGGUAAGCGGAAUUCCUAGUGUAGCGGUGAAAUGCGUAGAUAUUAGGAGGAACACCAGUGGCGAAGGCGGCUUACUGGACUGUAACUGACGUUGAGGCUCGAAAGCGUGGGGAGCUUUACAAGGUUAGAUACCCUGGUAGUUCCUCGCCGUAAACGAUGAUUAUUAGGUGUCGGUGGGUAUGGACCCAUCGGUGCCGCAGCAAACGCAGUAAGUAAUCCACCUGGGGAGUACGUUCGCAAGAAUGAAACUCAAAGGAAUUGACGGGGACCCGCACAAGCGGUGGAGCAUGUGGUUUAAUCCGAAGCAACGCGAAGAACCUUACCAAGUCUUGACAUCUGGAUGACAGGGACGUAACGGUCCCCUUACUUCGGUACAUCCAAGACAGGUGGUGCAUGGUUGUCGUCAGCUCGUGUCGUGAGAUGUUGGGUUAAGUCCCGCAACGAGCGCAACCCUUAUCCUUAGUAGCCAGCGGGCAGGGCCGGGCACUCUAGGGAGACUGCCGGGGAUAACCCGGAGGAAGGUGGGGAUGACGUCAAAUCAUCAUGCCCCUUAUGAUUUGGGCUACACACGUGCUACAAUGGCGUAAACAGAGGGAAGCGAACCCGCGAGGGGGAGCAAAUCCCAAAAAUAACGUCCCAGUUCGGAUUGUAGCCUGCAACCCGGCUACAUGAAGCUGGAAUCGCUAGUAAUCG
This 1286-nucleotide ribosomal RNA is filed under the name uncultured bacterium. RNAcentral describes it as "bacterial SSU rRNA". It matches the Rfam family "Bacterial small subunit ribosomal RNA", at positions 42 to 1344 of the family's 1533-position model. The record is from RNAcentral.